UCUGGUGCUUCUGGGUUGAACUCUGACGUCUGGGGGCGUGGACUGAUGUCUUCUAGAGCUCCAUUAAUUGGGAACGUUGAAUGGGAGUUGUGGAGUUGAUAGAACUCAGGGAUGUGAAUUGCCUCUGUUCGACUGUUGUAGAGUUUGUGAGCACAUGAAGUUGGUAGACCAAGUUGGGUUUUGAUAAUCAACAAAGGUAAAUUGUGAUAUCAAAUUUGAAACUGUGCGUUGCUGGUUGUCUAUCCAGAAUGGGAUGUUUGCACUAUAGUUGUUGUUAAGAUGAUGUGCUAGAUGUCACAUGGAAUUGAAGUGACAAUGUGGUACUUUUAUCGAUUGUUAAAUUUGGGACUUUGGCUCAGAUUUGAGUCUACAGAUAGGUUGAGAUCGAGCGUGAGGAGGCGUCGAGGCAUAGUGUUCAUCCACUUCCGACUUCCUGUGGGUUACGUGUUUAACCUACUUGUACUUUAUUUCAAUUCACUGUUUAGAUUGCUCUGAUGACUAUCUUUCAGUUGUGUUAUAAGAAAGAUAGUUUGGUAUUUAAGAUUUGAGUUUCAGAUUUGUUUUA
Molecule: long non-coding RNA, 565 nt
Organism: Rosa rugosa (rugosa rose)
Lineage: Eukaryota; Viridiplantae; Streptophyta; Magnoliopsida; Rosales; Rosaceae
Exons: 2
Source: RefSeq, a predicted model, not a curated record